GAUGAACGCUGGCGGCGUGCCUAAUACAUGCAAGUCGAGCGAACGGACGAGAAGCUUGCUUCUCUGAUGUUAGCGGCGGACGGGUGAGUAACACGUGGAUAACCUACCUAUAAGACUGGGAUAACUUCGGGAAACCGGAGCUAAUACCGGAUAAUAUUUUGAACCGCAUGGUUCAAAAGUGAAAGACGGUCUUGCUGUCACUUAUAGAUGGAUCCGCGCUGGAUUAGCUAGUUGGUAAGGUAACGGCUUACCAAGGCAACGAUGCAUAGCCGACCUGAGAGGGUGAUCGGCCACACUGGAACUGAGACACGGUCCAGACUCCUACGGGAGGCAGCAGUAGGGAAUAUUCCGCAAUGGGCGAAAGCCUGACGGAGCAACGCCGCGUGAGUGAUGAAGGUCUUCGGAUCGUAAAACUCUGUUAUUAGGGAAGAACAUAUGUGGAAGAAACUGUGCACAUCUUGACGGUACCUAAUCAGAAAGCCACGGCUAACUACGUG
This 497-nucleotide ribosomal RNA is filed under the name uncultured bacterium. Its description in RNAcentral is "partial 16S ribosomal RNA". It matches the Rfam family "Bacterial small subunit ribosomal RNA", at positions 28 to 507 of the family's 1533-position model. The record is from RNAcentral.